CCAGACCACUCCCUUACAACGGAUCGUCCGGCACGUUCCUGCCGGUGGAGGAGAAGAUUC
Streptomyces sp. CB02488 is the source of this 60-nucleotide non-coding RNA. The record is from Rfam. Lineage: Bacteria; Bacillati; Actinomycetota; Actinomycetes; Kitasatosporales; Streptomycetaceae.